UGCUACGUUUGUAAGACAAUUCAUGGCUAAAUUCUGGACCAAACUGAAGAUAUUUGACAGUGAAAUAAACUCGAAACAUACAUGAGCUGUUUAAAUCAGUGUUGUCAAAAAGUCUCCUGUCUUGUACGUCAAACAUAUUUUGUGUCUAAAAUGUUUACGUGACUGUAAGUGGGUACAACGGUCCACGUUUUCGUAUGGCCCCCGUAUGUUCAGGGUAAAUAACAACGCUACAGCCGUUAGGAAGCUACUGCCUCUCAAAAUCAAUUUUGACGCUAUAUUUUUGGGAGGGCUUCCAGUCUCUCAUUGUAGAAUUUAUCAAUUAAUACACCACCCACCUCACGUAGUUCGAUCGAGUAAAAAGGCAACAUGAUUAUCUUUUUAAUUAUCGUGUUUGAAAAAAUACUUCUCUUAAAAGCUCUAUUUGUUUAAACUUUUUGUUUUUCUUUAUUUCCAUAAAAUUGCCCUACAAUGCUUAUCAAUGUUUACCCAAAGAUAACAACAAAAGGCGCAAAUGAGUGUGAAUCAACAAUGUUAAACAUCGAAAGAACGAUAACAAAUUACUCAAUUCGAAAACGGAGACGCAAAAGAGAUUGCUAACCAGUGAGUGCAAAAAAUACACACGGUUCUUCUUCGAAAUUGUUGCAGUUCUUCAAUAUCUACUUGUCAGUGCACACGGCGAACAAAAUCAGAAGAAUUGAAAAAUAAUUUUUAUUUUUCACAAUUUUUUUUUUGACAGAAUGCAAGUGCACACGACACCUCCAGCUCAAAUGUGGAAAAUUCAUACCCAACCCGGUUAACUAUAUAAGAGGACCAACAUUGGAGUUGUGGAUAUCAAUCAAAGUUUGAAAAUAUCAAACAAAAGUUAAUUUUUUGAAAAAAGUAAAAUUACAUCUAAAAGCAAAAUGCCUUGCAAAGGAUGCGGUAAUGAUUGCAAAUGCAAUGCCCAAAAGUGUGGCGACAGUUGUCCCUGUGACCAGCACUGCCAUUGCCCCUGUAAAACUGGCUCCAAGGAUGAAUGCUGCAAAAAGUAAAACACCAUUGAAUGAAUCAAAGAUGGACGUGCAUUAAAUGACCUGUGAUUUUUGAGAAUUGUAUUCUAUAUAACAUAAAAAAUAUAUUUUUAAAAACAAAAAUAAAAAAAUAUACAAUAA
Musca domestica (house fly) is the source of this 1151-nucleotide RNA transcript. RefSeq lists it as uncharacterized. NCBI's taxonomy places the organism in Eukaryota, Metazoa, Arthropoda, Insecta, Diptera, Muscidae. The record is from RefSeq and is a predicted model, not a curated record. The transcript has 2 exons.